This 373-nucleotide ribosomal RNA is filed under the name uncultured bacterium. Its description in RNAcentral is "bacterial SSU rRNA". It matches the Rfam family "Bacterial small subunit ribosomal RNA", at positions 523 to 898 of the family's 1533-position model. The record is from RNAcentral.
AUACGGAGGAUGCAAGCGUUAUCCGGAUUCAUUGGGUUUAAAGGGUGCGCAGGCGGAACUAUAAGUCAGUGGUGAAAGCCUACAGCUCAACUGUAGAAUUGCCAUUGAUACUGUAAUUCUUGAGUAUAUUUGGAGUGGGCGGAAUGUAUCAUGUAGCGGUGAAAUGCUUAGAUAUGAUACAGAACACCAAUCGCGAAGGCAGCUCACUAAACUAUAACUGACGCUCAUGCACGAAAGCGUGGGGAUCAAACAGGAUUAGAGACCCUGGUAGUCCACGCCCUAAACGAUGAUCACUCGAUGUUGGCGAUAUACAGUCAGCGUCUGAGCGAAAGCAUUAAGUGAUCCACCUGGGGAGUACGAUCGCAAGGUUGAA